RNAcentral lists this ribosomal RNA (406 nucleotides) under uncultured bacterium. RNAcentral describes it as "partial 16S ribosomal RNA". It matches the Rfam family "Bacterial small subunit ribosomal RNA", at positions 30 to 526 of the family's 1533-position model. The record is from RNAcentral.
AUUGAACGCUGGCGGCAGGCCUAACACAUGCAAGUCGAACGAGUGGCGGACGGGUGAGUAAUGUCUGGGAAACUGCCUGAUGGAGGGGGAUAACUACUGGAAACGGUAGCUAAUACCGCCUACCAUCAGCUGUGCCCAGAUGGGAUUAGCUGUUUGGUGGGGUAACGGCUCACAAGGGCGACGAUCCCUAGCUGGUCUGACAGAAUGACUAGCCACACUGGAACUGAGACACGGUCCAGACGCCUACGGGAGACAGCAGUGGGGAAUAUUGCACAAUGGGCGCGAGCCUGAUGCAGCCAUGCCGCGUGUAUGAAGAAGGCCUUCGGGUUGUAAAGUACUUUCAGCGGGGAGGCGUUACCCGCAGAAGAAGCACCGGCUAACUCCGUGCCAGCAGCCGCGGUAAUUC